RNAcentral lists this ribosomal RNA (253 nucleotides) under uncultured bacterium. RNAcentral describes it as "partial 16S ribosomal RNA". It matches the Rfam family "Bacterial small subunit ribosomal RNA", at positions 524 to 776 of the family's 1533-position model. The record is from RNAcentral.
UACGUAGGGGGCAAACGUUGUUCGGAAUUACUGGGCGUAAAGGGCGCGUAGGCGGCCUUCUAAGUCAGACGUGAAAUCCCUCGGCUUAACCGAGGAACUGCGUCUGAUACUGGAGGGCUUGAAUCCGGGAGAGGGAUGCGGAAUUCCAGGUGUAGCGGUGAAAUGCGUAGAUAUCUGGAGGAACACCGGUGGCGAAGGCGGCAUCCUGGACCGGUAUUGACGCUGAGGCGCGAAAGCCAGGGGAGCAAACGGG